GCUAAGGCCCCUAAAUGAAUGCUAAGUGGUAAAGGAGGUGAAAAUGCUAAGACAUCCAGAAGGUUUGCUUAGAAGCAGCCAUCCUUAAAAGAGUGCGUAAUAGCUCACUGGUAAAGCGUUUUCGCGCCGAAAAUGAACGGGACUAAGCAAUCUGCCGAAGCUGUGAGUUGAAAUUCGAAAAAACGAAUUUUUGCGGUAGGGGAGCGUUCCGCUCUAGGGUGAAGUAUUUACGGAAAUAAAUAUCGACGAAGCGGAAGUGAGAAUGUCGGCUUGAGUAACGCAAACAUUGGUGAGAAUCCUUUGCCCCGAAAACCUAAGGGUUCCUUCGCAAGACUCGUUCACGAAGGGUUAGUCAGGUCCUAAGGCGAGGCUGAAAAGCGUAGUCGAUGGAAAACAGGUUAAUAUUCCUGUACUAGUUUUUAGUUGAUACCGAGGGACGAAGAAAAUAAAAAAUUAGCCAGAUUCGGAUGGUUGGCAGAGCGACAUGUUCAAGUUUUUCAAAAAAGAGAUUAGAAGAAAAACUAAUCUGACGAACUAGUACACGACUUACUCUCACUAGUGGAAAUUGGUAACAAGAUCCAUCAAGUGUAAUAUUUUAUUAAGCUUCCUAGAAAAGCUCGUAGUAUUGUUAAAUAAAAUUACCUGUACCGUAACCGCCACAGGUAGGUAGGUAGAGUAUACUGAGGGCGCGNGAUACUCUCUCUAAGAACU
RNAcentral lists this ribosomal RNA (711 nucleotides) under Stichococcus bacillaris. RNAcentral describes it as "bacterial LSU rRNA". It matches the Rfam family "Bacterial large subunit ribosomal RNA", at positions 1038 to 1714 of the family's 2925-position model. The record is from RNAcentral. Lineage: Eukaryota; Viridiplantae; Chlorophyta; Trebouxiophyceae; Prasiolales; Stichococcaceae.